Molecule: non-coding RNA, 312 nt
Organism: Pelobates cultripes (western spadefoot toad)
Lineage: Eukaryota; Metazoa; Chordata; Amphibia; Anura; Pelobatidae
Source: the annotation of a GenBank genome assembly
GGCUGUGUGGAGGAAACUUGGAGAUGCUGCAGGUUCAUGUCCUGGAAUUAGACAUCUCUCUGCAAAUCAAUAUAAAGGACCAAUGUGACUGAAGAUGGAUAUCGCCUGAGCCCUUCUUAAGAUAAAGAACAAAUUUAAAAUGACAGUGGGAGAGUCACAUAGAAGAAUUAAUCACAAAUAUUAAGCCCCAGGCAGAGUGGGUUAUCUGACGUAAUAGAUUGAUUAAUUUAAAAUUGGCACAACUCGCUUAAUAUUAUCGUUCAAGCUGCAGUUAUGUCCUUUGGACAAUAAGCACAUCUAGUUUUACAGCAC